UGGGGAAUUUUGGACAAUGGGCGAAAGCCUGAUCCAGCAAUGCCGCGUGUGUGAAGAAGGCCUUCGGGUUGUAAAGCACUUUUGUCCGGAAAGAAAUCCUUGGCUCUAAUACAGUCGGGGGAUGACGGCACCGGAAGAAUAAGCACCGGCUAACUACGUGCCAGCAGCCGCGGUAAUACGUAGGGUGCAAGCGUUAAUCGGAAUUACUGGGCGUAAAGCGUGCGCAGGCGGUUUGCUAAGACCGAUGUGAAAUCCCCGGGCUCAACCUGGGAACUGCAUUGGUGACUGGCAGGCUAGAGUAUGGCAGAGGGGGGUAGAAUUCCACGUGUAGCAGUGAAAUGCGUAGAGAUGUGGAGGAAUACCGAUGGCGAAGGCAGCCCCCUGGGCCAAUACUGACGCUCAUGCACGAAAGCGUGGGGAGCAAACAGGAUUAGAUACCCUGGUAGUCCACGCCCUAAACGAUGUCAACUAGUUGUUGGGGAUUCAUUUCCUUAGUAACGUAGCUAACGCGUGAAGUUGACCGCCUGGGGAGUACGGUCGCAAGAUUAAAACUCAAAGGAAUUGACGGGGUCAUAGCUGUUUCCU
RNAcentral lists this ribosomal RNA (585 nucleotides) under uncultured bacterium. RNAcentral's name for it is "partial 16S ribosomal RNA". It matches the Rfam family "Bacterial small subunit ribosomal RNA", at positions 355 to 1375 of the family's 1533-position model. The record is from RNAcentral.